CAUUAGAUGACUGAAGGCAAGUAAUGGUCUCUUAAACCAAAAUAUAGUAAAUUAGCAUUUACUUCUAAUG
RNAcentral lists this transfer RNA (70 nucleotides) under Zemeros flegyas. Its description in RNAcentral is "tRNA-Lys". Lineage: Eukaryota; Metazoa; Arthropoda; Insecta; Lepidoptera; Riodinidae. The record is from RNAcentral.